Musa acuminata AAA Group (dessert banana) is the source of this 2017-nucleotide long non-coding RNA. RefSeq lists it as uncharacterized. The record is from RefSeq and is a predicted model, not a curated record. The transcript is spliced from 3 exons. Lineage: Eukaryota; Viridiplantae; Streptophyta; Magnoliopsida; Zingiberales; Musaceae.
AUCCCGUCUUGGGGGAGCGGCACAGCAGUGGAAGGAAGCAGAAGGGCCGCGGGGGCGCAGUCCUCCUCCGUCGACGAUGAUCGUCUUCGACUCCUCCGCCUUCAAGGUCUGCCGUGCCGUCAUUCUUUCCGCAUGGGAUCCUCGUUCGCCCUCUAUUCCUGUCGGCCUCCCCACGAAGAAGCCGCUCAAGUGUUCGACCGGAGUCCUUCCGACCACCACCGAUCCCGGUAAGAACUGAGUCGGCGGUGAGGGGUUUAUCUGCAAACAGUUCUCCAUUUCCAGGAUAGAGAUAGAAUCGAGGCCGCUACCGAAGCCGGUGUUGGAGCAGAAGUUAGAGGCCGCAGGGAAUCUGAUGAGAUGGAUAUUGGUCUCUACGCGAACGAAGCUGCAAAGUGCGAUAGAGACGGAAUUCUGAAGACUUAUCGUGCAAUUCCCUUUCUGAAACCUAUCAACCAUGAGCAUUAAUACGGAAGGGAUUCUACUAGUGUGACAGUAGUCUGCUUAUGCGCCUUCUGUAUCUCAAUCGCUAAUUUUACCUAGUCUUCUUCCCUUUCCUCUCUUGAACUCUCACUAAGAUAACAAUUGGAAUUAAACUGGAAUGCAUCAGUAACCCAUUUGUCAUCCUUUUAUGUUUUUAAAUACUCAUUAAUUCACAACUGAUCUGAUUCUUCCUCUAUCAAGCAUUUUUAUGAUUACAUUUGGAGUCACAGCAGAAUGCAUAAAAAACCUUUUCAUUUUCAUGCAAUCAAUCAACCGUUAUUCCUCUCUCUCGGACAUCAUAAUAACAUUUGGAAUUAUGUGGUAUAUUGAACACUCAUUUAACUCCCAAUUAAUGUUUCUUCCUCCUCUCUUGACUCAUGGUGGUAACAUUUGGAAUUACAUCGAUCAUUUCUUUUCUUUAGUUUCAUUUUCAUAAGAAAAUAAUUUAUGUAGCAUACCAGAUUGUUCUUUCUUAAAAAAAAUCUGAUGGUUCUUCCUUUCUUCAGCUUUGGUGCAAGGUUGCUUGGUUCUUUGGUGUCGAGGACACAUGCUAGGCAAUACCAUUAAUCCAGUUGCAAAUGGUGCAUCCAUUUAAGUUGAUCGGUAUCAUUUUCAUAGUUGUUAUUAACUAAACUAUGCGUCACAAAAAUGGAUGAUUAAGAAAAUCAACCAAUUGCAUUUGUAAAUGAUAUGGGUCAGGUUCAUGGAUCCCUGGAUUUUUGUAGACUGAGUGGUCUUUUUAAGUUAAAUCAAGCUUAUCUGAGAACUUGCUAUGCUGUUACAUUCAAAAUUUUAAUUUUUGCCAAUCUGAUGUAUCCUUGAAAGUAAUUGGUGUUCUUGAAGAAGCCUGUGGUGAUGGUACCUUUUCAACAGACUCAGCUUCUAAGUCAUGUCCAUUGGAGGCUGAAAUAAGUCAGAACAAAAUCUGCAUAUGAGUGGGUACUGAAAUGAAAUAAAACCAGUGUGAUUCUUACAGCUGAGGUCAAUCUAUAAUACCUUGUGGAUGAAACAUUUCAUUAUUAGGAGGUGACUGUUUUCUUGACUGACCAGUAGGCAAGUCUUGAGAAUGCCUACAUGCAAAUCUUCUGAUUCCAGCUAGCUGCACCCAGUGAAUCCUCAUAUGAUGAGACCACUUCUUGAUGUGAACCACAAGAAGUUCUAUGAACAGAUUAGCAUCAGCCAUUAAUGACCUACACCCCUUUCCAGUCAGAUGGAAGCCGAAGAUUCACCAUGUAUUCCUGUCAAUUUCUUUUAGAAUACUGAGGUCAGAAUAUCUGGUGCCAAUAGCUCUUCCAGGCGAAGAGGGGAACCAAACACCAGGACAAGGCUCGGUGGUUGAUGAAAUGUUUCUUAUGUAUUAAACAUUGUAGGUCUGAUCUAAAUGAAUAAAUAUUAGAGUGUUGGUAGUUUUUAUUCUUCCUAUCCCUUGACCAAGAGAUGUGUGUGCUGGGAAGCUGGUGGACAACCAAGGAUGCUGGUUCCGGUUGUUCCAGCAAUGAUGUAUCUAAUAGGUGGAGUGAGUAAGUAGGCUGUAAAA